UCGGAAUUACUGGGCGUAAAGAGUACGUAGGCGGCUUUACAAGUCGGGUGUGAAAGCCCUGAGCUUAACUCAGGAACUGCAUUCGAUACUGUAUCGCUAGAGUUUAUUAGAGGAUAGCGGAAUUCCAGGUGUAGCGGUGAAAUGCGUAGAUAUCUGGAGGAACACCAAUGGCGAAGGCAGCUAUCUGGGAUACAACUGACGCUGAGGUACGAAAGCGUGGGGAGCAAACAGGAUUAGAUACCCUGGUAGUCCACGCCGUAAACGAUGAGAACUAGACGUUGGGUAUUUAUACCUGGUGUCGCAGCUAACGCAUUAAGUUCUCCGCCUGGGGAGUACGGCCGCAAGGUUGAAACUCAAAGUAAUUGACGGGGGCCCGCACAAGCGGUGGAGCAUGUGGUUUAAUUCGAUGCAACGCGAAGAACCUUACCUACACUUGACAUCAUCAGAACUUGUUAGAGAUAACUCGGUGCCUUCGGGAACUGAUAGACAGGUGCUGCAUGGCU
RNAcentral lists this ribosomal RNA (503 nucleotides) under uncultured Gammaproteobacteria bacterium. RNAcentral's name for it is "bacterial SSU rRNA". It matches the Rfam family "Bacterial small subunit ribosomal RNA", at positions 545 to 1050 of the family's 1533-position model. Lineage: Bacteria; Pseudomonadati; Pseudomonadota; Gammaproteobacteria. The record is from RNAcentral.